AAAACUUUCAACAGCGGAUCUCUUGGCUCUGGCAUCGAUGAAGAACGCAGCGAAAUGCGAUAAGUAAUGUGAAUUGCAGAAUCCAGUGAAUCAUCGAAUCUUUGAACGCACAUUGCGCCCGCCAGCAUUCUGGCGGGCAUGCCUGUUCGAGCGUCAUUU
Molecule: ribosomal RNA, 159 nt
Filed under: Beauveria bassiana
Lineage: Eukaryota; Fungi; Ascomycota; Sordariomycetes; Hypocreales; Cordycipitaceae
Description: 5.8S rRNA
Rfam family: 5.8S ribosomal RNA
About the family: 5.8S ribosomal RNA (5.8S rRNA) is a component of the large subunit of the eukaryotic ribosome. It is transcribed by RNA polymerase I as part of the 45S precursor that also contains 18S and 28S rRNA. Functionally, it is thought that 5.8S rRNA may be involved in ribosome translocation.
Source: RNAcentral